This is a non-coding RNA of Arachis ipaensis, 560 nucleotides long. NCBI's taxonomy places the organism in Eukaryota, Viridiplantae, Streptophyta, Magnoliopsida, Fabales, Fabaceae. The record is from RefSeq and is a predicted model, not a curated record.
CCCUUCAUAGAUAGAAAAAAAUUAACUUAGCAUCCAUAUAUAAGUUUUCGUUUGCUAAAUUUGUUAGUACGCUUAUUUACUUAUAUGCCAAAUAAAAUAACACACUGUUGAAAUGUGGCAAUCCUUCAGAUUUUUGCUCUUGUUUGCCACUUGGGGCAUUGGUGGUUAUGGCUGAUAAAUACAACAAAGCGGAAAUGUCAUAUACUUGACCCGCUACACAAAAAAACUCCAAGCGAUGAGAGAAAGAAGGUUAAUAAAUUCACUGGAUGUGUAUUUUCAAGAUUGAUAACAUAUGUCGGCGGGGAACCUCUGCAGAAAGGGGAGAACGAGAAGAAAAUUAAAGCAUCAUAUGUUAAAAUAUCAGGCUAAAAAACAAGCUAUGACUGCGCUAUCUACGUUAUGAAGUGGAUGGAGUUAAUUGAGCCGGAAAACAUCAAUAAGGGGAAGUAUGAAUGGGAUAAUUGGCCACAGGUAACUGUCUUUAGAACUAUAUAACUCUGUAUUACUUUACUGAAUUAAUAUUACUGUUUAAACAGAAUAUACUUUUUAAUUGUAGGAGG